Molecule: ribosomal RNA, 253 nt
Filed under: uncultured bacterium
Lineage: Bacteria
Description: partial 16S ribosomal RNA
Rfam family: Bacterial small subunit ribosomal RNA
Source: RNAcentral
GACGAACCGUGCGAACGUUGUUCGGAAUCACUGGGCUUAAAGGGCGCGUAGGCGGCUUGUCAAGUCAGGGGUGAAAUCCUGCAGCUUAACUGUAGAAGUGCCUUUGAUACUGAUGAGCUCGAGGGAGGUAGGGGUCGCUGGAACUUCUGGUGGAGCGGUGAAAUGCGUUGAUAUCAGAAGGAACGCCGGUGGCGAAAGCGAGCGACUGGAUCUCUACUGACGCUGAGGCGCGAAAGCUAGGGGAGCAAACGGG